CCCUUAGAUGUUCUGGGCUGCACGCGCGCUACACUGAUGCGUGCAACGAGUUUUCGACCUUGCCUGAAAAGGUUGGGUAAUCUGUUUAACAUGUGUCGUGAUGGGGAUAGACCAUUGCAAUUAUUGAUCUUCAACGAGGAAUUCCUAGUAAGCGCGAGUCAUCAGCUCGUGCUGAUUAUGUCCCUGCCCUUUGUACACACCGCCCGUCGCUCCUACCGAUUGAGCGAUCCGGUGAAUGAUUCGGACCAGCGUGCUGCUCAGAUCCUGCGCAGUGUGCUGGGAAGUCUAGUGAACCUUAUCACUUAGAGGAAGGAGAAGUCGUAACA
This 326-nucleotide ribosomal RNA is filed under the name uncultured eukaryote. RNAcentral describes it as "partial 18S ribosomal RNA". It matches the Rfam family "Eukaryotic small subunit ribosomal RNA", at positions 1470 to 1796 of the family's 1831-position model. The record is from RNAcentral.